AACGAACGCUGGCGGCAUGCCUAACACAUGCAAGUCGAACGAGAUCUUCGGGUCUAGUGGCGCACGGGUGCGUAACGCGUGGGAAUCUGCCCUUUGGUACGGAAUAACAGUUGGAAACGACUGCUAAUACCGGACGAUGACGAAAGUCCAAAGAUUUAUCGCCAGAGGAUGAGCCCGCGUAGGAUUAGCUAGUUGGUGUGGUAAAGGCGCACCAAGGCGACGAUCCUUAGCUGGUCUGAGAGGAUGAUCAGCCACACUGGGACUGAGACACGGCCCAGACUCCUACGGGAGGCAGCAGUGGGGAAUAUUGGACAAUGGGCGAAAGCCUGAUCCAGCAAUGCCGCGUGAGUGAUGAAGGCCUUAGGGUUGUAAAGCUCUUUUACCCGGGAUGAUAAUGACAGUACCGGGAGAAUAAGCUCCGGCUAACUCCGUGCCAGCCGCCGCUGUAA
RNAcentral lists this ribosomal RNA (449 nucleotides) under uncultured bacterium. Its description in RNAcentral is "partial 16S ribosomal RNA". It matches the Rfam family "Bacterial small subunit ribosomal RNA", at positions 29 to 523 of the family's 1533-position model. The record is from RNAcentral.